This 198-nucleotide ribosomal RNA is filed under the name uncultured bacterium. Its description in RNAcentral is "partial 16S ribosomal RNA". It matches the Rfam family "Bacterial small subunit ribosomal RNA", at positions 328 to 539 of the family's 1533-position model. The record is from RNAcentral.
ACGCUCGACACCUACGGGAGUCAGCAGUGGGGGAUAUUGCACAAUGGGGGAAACCCUGAUGCAGCAACGCCGCGUGAAGGAUGAAGGUUUUCGGAUUGUAAACUUCUGUUCUUAGUGACGAUAAUGACGGUAGCUAAGAAGAAAGCUCCGGCUAACUACGUGCCAGCAGCCGCGGUAAUCUGAGCGGGCUGGCAAGGC